Molecule: long non-coding RNA, 3131 nt
Organism: Rhineura floridana
Lineage: Eukaryota; Metazoa; Chordata; Lepidosauria; Squamata; Rhineuridae
Exons: 4
Source: RefSeq, a predicted model, not a curated record
CUUGGGGGAAGCCAUGACUGUUUAAACUGGAAUAAAAGUGGAAUAAAUCUCUGGUGUGAAUGUGGCCAUAGGAACGGAGGCGGAAAGGCGUGGGAGUUGGAAGAUCGGUCGAGAACAUGGAGGACGGAGGUCUGGAUUGGAAAGGCUGAGAUGAACAGGAAGGCUGAAGACAAAGGAAUGAGAGGCAUCCAGCUGCAUGAGAAAAUGAAUGGAGAUACCAAAUGGAAUGAACCAGGGCUAGUAAUGAAAUGGACAAGCAGUUCGCCUUGGAGAGUGGAGCAAAUGUGUCAAGAGUGGAGGACAAGGACAAGAAUGAAAGGUGGUAACUGGCAGAAGUGACAGCAGCGGAGAAAGGAAAGGACAAUGCUUUGGAGAAAGCUGGUACAUCAACAGACUGGAGGUCAUGGACAGAGCAAGCAGAAUGUUGUGAGUGAAUGAGGACUGCCUGCAGUGCUGAAGGAGAUAAGGUGAUCACACAGAAGGAAUUGCACUUCAGGAAGAUGGUUAAAGUGCCUUCUUUAGUGUCAUUCCAUGGUCUUUAUUCGAAUGAUCUCUUGAUCCUGAAAAUCAAUGCUGACAACUCUUUAUACAAGCAGAUGUGAAAUGUGUGGAGGAAUUAAAAUCUUCACUAUCCAGAAACUGCAUCCAAGCAUCUGUGACAUUGAUGUACACCUUAACAUGGUGAGGGGUUUUAGAUUGUCAAAGAAGCUGACAGCAAUGCCGUCAGGAGUCUUGAGCAAGAGGCUAGACUCCUAGCAGGGGCACCCAAGGCGGAAUGGUCAAAGCUGAGACACCAGACCUAGGAACAGAGUAUCCAAAAUGCAACAUGAGAUAGUGCUGGAAGAUGAGACCCCCAGGUCAGAUGGCACUCAGCAAGCUAUUGAGGAAGAACAAUGGACAAGUACAAGUAGUGCUGUGACUAAUGACAUAACUGGGUCAAAGCCGAAAGGAAGCCCAGAGGCUGAUGCACACAGAUGAGAAAGGAGAGUCAGGAGUUAUAUGACGUACAUAAUAGGAACACAGAAUGUGAAAAGCAUGAACCAGGGAAAGUUAGAAACUGACAAGCAAGAAAUGGAACCUAUCAACAUUACAAUAAAAAAGGUAAAGGUGUCGCCGCACUUGUAGUGUGAGUCGUUUCCGAUUCUUAGGGUGACGUCUUGCGACGUUUACUAGGCAGACCGUAUAUAUGGGGUGGGAUUGCCAGUUCCUUCCCCGGCCUCUCUUUACCCCCCAGCAUAUGCCGGGUACUCAUUUUACCGACCACGGAUGGAUGGAAGGCUGAGUGGACCUCGACCCCUUUUACUGGAGAUUCCACUUCCUUCUUCCGUUGGAAUCAAACUCCAGCCGUGAGCAGAGCUUUCGGCUGCGUUACUGCCGCUUACCACUCUGCACCACGGAGGAUCUUAAAAAAGACAAUACCUCUAGUUAAAAAGAAAGACCUCAAUGGAUGAUUGAAGAAACUAUUCCAAAAGAUCAAGAGUAGGGAUGUUGAAUAAUCAACAGGGGAACACACUGACCGACUGAGAUAAAAUAAAAGGAAGAUGGAAGCAAUACACUGAAGAACUCUAUAACUCUAUAAAAGAGAUGCCAGGAUGACAGAUUCAUUCAUGGAGGAACUGUAUGAUAAAGAACUAGAAAUUUCAGAUUGUGAGGUGAAAGCUGCUCUUAAUAUACUUGGAAGAAACAAAUCACCAGGAACAGAUGGCAUAUCAAUCGAGUUGCUACAAGUUACUGAGACUGAAUCUGUCCAAAUUUUGAAUAAAAAAACAAAACAAUGGCCCACAGACUGUAUAUGUUAAAUAUACAUCCCAAUUCAAAAGAAAGGGGGUUCCAGAGAAUGCAGUAAUUAUCAAACUAUUGUCUUAAUAUCCCAUGCAAGCUAAGUAAUGCUCAAGAUUCUACAACAAAGGUUCUUACCAUAUAUGGAGUGAGAAGUGCCAGAUGUCCAAGCUGGAUUUAGAAAAGGAAGAGGCACCAGAGACCAUAUCGCAAACAUACAUUGGAUAAUGGAACGAACCAAGGAAUUUCAGAAGAAAAUCACACUGUGCUUUAUAGAUUACAGCAAAGCCUUUGACUGUGUAGAUCAUGAAAAACUAUGGAAUGCUUUAAAAGAAAUGGGGGUGCCACAGCAUCUGAUUGUUCUGAUGCACAACCUAUACUGUGGACAAGCGGCUACUGUAAGGACAGAAUAUGGAGAAACCGAUUGGUACCCAAUCAAAAAGGGUGGGAGAUAGGAGGAUAUUGAAUUUGUUUAAUCUAUACACAGAAUAUAUCAUACAGAAAGCGGGAUUGGACCAAGAUGAAGGAGGUAUGAAAAAUUGGAGGAAGAAAUAUCAGUAAUUUAAGAGAUGCAGACGAUACCAUACUACUAGCAGAAAUCAGGAAUGAUUUGAAACGAAUGAUGAUGAAAGUUAAAGAGGAAAGCACAAAAGCAGGACUACAGCUGAACCUCAAGAAGAUUAAAGUAAUGACAACAGAAGAUUUAUGUAACUUUAAAGUUCACAACGAGGACAUUGAACUUGUCAAGGAUUAUCAAUACCUCGGCACAGUCAUUAACCAAAAUGGAGACAAUAGUCAAGAAAUCAGAAGAAGGCUAGGACUGGGGAGGGCAGCUAUGAGAGAACUAGAAAAGGUCCUCAAAUGCAAAGAUGUAUCACUGAACACUAAAAUCAGGGUCAUUCAGACCAUGGCAUUCCAAAUCUCUAUUUAUGGAUGUGAAAGUUGGUCAGUGAAAAAAGCAGAUAAGAGAAAAAUCCACUCAUUUGAAAUGUGGUGUUGGAGGAGAGCUUUGCACAUUCCAUGGACUGCGAAAAAGUCAAAUGAUUGGGUGUUAGAACAAAUUAUACCAGACCUAUCACUAGAAACUAAAAUGAUGAAACUGAGGUUAUCAUACUUUGGACACAUAAUGAGAAGACAUGAUUACUAGAAAAGACAAUUUGGGAAAAACAGAAAGGAGUAGAAAAAGAGGAAGGCCACACUAGAGAUGGAUUGAUUCCAUAAAGGAAGCCACAGACCUGAACUUACAAGACCUGAACAGAUCUUGGAGGUGGCUGAGUCAUAGCGUCACCAUAAGUUAUAAUCGAUUUGAAGGCAUAUAACAUGUUUUUUAUGUAAACUGCUUUGGUAAUUCA